Molecule: ribosomal RNA, 385 nt
Filed under: uncultured bacterium
Lineage: Bacteria
Description: bacterial SSU rRNA
Rfam family: Bacterial small subunit ribosomal RNA
Source: RNAcentral
GACGAACGCUGGCGGCGUGCUUAACACAUGCAAGUCGAGCGGAAAGGCCCUUCGGGGUACUCGAGCGGCGAACGGGUGAGUAACACGUGGGUAACCUGCCCCUUGCUCUGGGAUAACUCCGGGAAACCGGGGCUAAUACCGGAUACGACCACUUUAGGCAUCUUCGGUGGUGGAAAGUUUUUCGGCGAGGGAUGGACCCGCGGCCUAUCAGCUUGUUGGGUGGGGUAAUGGCCUACCAAGGCAGUGACGGGUAGCCGGCCNGAGAGGGCGACCGGCCACACUGGGACUGAGACACGGCCCAGACUCCUACGGGAGGCAGCAGUGGGGAAUAUUGCGCAAUGGGCGAAAGCCUGACGCAGCGACGCCGCGUGAGGGAUGACGGCCU